Molecule: ribosomal RNA, 264 nt
Filed under: uncultured bacterium
Lineage: Bacteria
Description: partial 16S ribosomal RNA
Rfam family: Bacterial small subunit ribosomal RNA
Source: RNAcentral
GUCCAUGCCGUAAAACGUUGGGCACUAGGUGUGGGGGACAUUCCACGUUUUCCGCGCCGUAGCUAACGCAUUAAGUGCCCCGCCUGGGGAGUACGGCCGCAAGGCUAAAACUCAAAGGAAUUGACGGGGCCCGCACAAGCGGCGGAGCAUGCGGAUUAAUUCGAUGCAACGCGAAGAACCUUACCAAGGCUUGACAUGGACCGGACCGGGCUGGAAACAGUCCUUCCCCUUUGGGGCCGUUCACAGGUGGUGCAUGGUUGUCGU